CCUACGGGGGGCAGCAGUAACGAAUCUUCCGCAAUGCACGCAAGUGUGACGGAGCGACGCCGCGUGGAGGUUAAGUCCUUCGGGAUGUAAACUCCUGUCAGGGGUUACCAAGAUCUGAGGAGCCCCAGAGGAAGGCACGGCUAACUCUGUGCCAGCAGCCGCGGUAAUACAGAGGUGCCAAGCGUUAGGCGGAAUCACUGGGCUUAAAGCGCGUGUAGGUGGACGGGUAAGUAUCUUGUGAAAUCCCACGGCUCAACCGUGGAACUGCUGGAUAUACUGCUUGUCUUGAGGCACUUAGGGGCAGCUGGAACAAAUGGUGGAGCGGUGAAAUGCGUAGAUAUCAUUUGGAACGCCAAAGGCGAAAGCAGGCUGCUGGGAGUGAUCUGACACUGAGACGCGAAAGCCAGGGGAGCAAACGGGAUUAGAUACCCUGGUAGUC
This 439-nucleotide unclassified non-coding RNA is filed under the name uncultured fungus. RNAcentral's name for it is "partial internal transcribed spacer 1". It matches the Rfam family "Bacterial small subunit ribosomal RNA", at positions 338 to 795 of the family's 1533-position model. The record is from RNAcentral. Lineage: Eukaryota; Fungi.